CCAGGAUCCUAUGCGACAACGCGGACAACAUCACCCGGGUGCAGAGCGACGUGUUCAGGGUGGCGGAGUUCCCUCACGGCUACGGCAGCUGUGACGAGAUCCCCAGGGUAGACCUCCGGGUGUGGCAGGACUGCUGUGAAGACUGUAGGACCAGGGGGCAGUUCAAUGCCUUUUCCUAUCAUUUCCGAGGCAGACGGUCUCUUGAGUUCAGCUACCAGGAGGACAAGCCGACCAAGAAAACAAGACCACGGAAAAUACCCAGUGUUGGGAGACAGGGGGAACAUCUCAGCAACAGCACCUCAGCCUUCAGCACACGCUCAGAUGCAUCUGGGACAAAUGACUUCAGAGAGUUUGUUCUGGAAAUGCAGAAGACCAUCACAGACCUCAGAACACAGGUGAGGUGCCUGGCGGCCUGUGUCCCCCCACUCCAAGAUUCCACAGCAGCACAGCCCUGCCCGAACCUUCUGGGUAUAGCAUUUUAUUCCCAGGCAACUGUUCAACUGCCCACACAGGACCCAGACCCUGGAGCCUUGGGGGUGUCAUUUCUGCACGCUGGGUCAGGCCGGGCCAUGUGCCACUGGUGUCCCUGGGUUUCCCAGCAGAUGGGGGUCACCAGGCAGGGGCAAUCUGUGUCACGGCCGUGUGACUGCCAGCCAGGUGACCUUGCUGGAGGGAACACAGGAUUAGGAUGCUGUAGGAGAGUUCAGACAUGAAGUCCUGUUCUUAAGCCUCUUAUUCAGGAAUAACUCUGAAUCAUCUCUCCCAGGGCGUGGUAAGGAGGCACUUCCAGGUCAGCCCUCCACAACUGAUCCAGCCUCUCCGGGUGUGAGGAAAGUCCUGGUGUCUGUGGUACGACCACAGGGAUUUUCAGACGGGGCUCUUCUCUGGCGCUCUGUGGAAAUGAGUUCUGUCCUCUCCUUCCUAUCCCAGGAACUUACUUCUGCUUUCUUCAGUGCCUGUGGUGGGGGUUAUCUCUGGGAUUUUACGUAAGGGGGUGGAGAUUGAGACCUAUGGCUAAAUAGAAGGAAGUGCGCUCACUCCGCUGGUGUGGAUGGGAUUCCCAAGGUGCGCAGGUCCUGGCUGUCUGCAGCACAUUUAAUCUGUAAGCACAGCUCCUUUCCUACUCACAGGACUCUUAGCCCUUAGGUUUGGGAGAAACUUCCAUCAUCUCCUAGUGUAGCCCCAAGGUAACCCCCAGCCACAGGGAGAGGUACCCUGACUACUCCUGUGCCUGCCCCCUCAUCCCGUGCAGCUGCAGGUCCUCCUGCCUCUGCAGCCUUGAGACCAGGUGCAAGUCCCCAGGCAGCUGUCAGAGUGGACGACAUGUGGCAGGUCCUCCUGCCUCCGCAACCUAGAGACCAGGUGCAAGUCCCCAGGCAGCUGUCAGAGUGGACAGCAUGCCGCAGGUCUUCC
This 1413-nucleotide long non-coding RNA is filed under the name Homo sapiens (human). RNAcentral's name for it is "long non-coding RNA NONHSAT184003.1". The record is from RNAcentral. Lineage: Eukaryota; Metazoa; Chordata; Mammalia; Primates; Hominidae.